RNAcentral lists this transfer RNA (71 nucleotides) under Candidatus Brocadiales bacterium. Its description in RNAcentral is "tRNA-Gln". It matches the Rfam family "tRNA". Rfam says of the family: Transfer RNA (tRNA) molecules are approximately 80 nucleotides in length. Their secondary structure includes four short double-helical elements and three loops (D, anti-codon, and T loops). Lineage: Bacteria; Pseudomonadati; Planctomycetota; Candidatus Brocadiia; Candidatus Brocadiales. The record is from RNAcentral.
UGCCCUAUCGUCUAAUGGUAGGACCCCAGCUUUUGGAGCUGGUUAUAGAGGUUCGAAUCCUUUUGGGGCAG